CUAGUCUCACGUGAGGUCCGGUCCGGUCCGGUCCGGUCCAGAAGAAGUGACAUAAACAUGAUUUCUACAAUGUAUUGUUCUACAUCAGUGUCGGACACAUCAGCUCCACUUCUGUUAAUGUAGAAACAAUCCGUGUUCAUGCGCUCUGAGAUGAAAAACUCAAAGACUCGACACAUGAACGUCUUGCUGUGAGUUACCAUGGGAACAUGUGUUCAUCAAGCUUAGUUUUCACCUUCUUUUUUUCUUUUACUGGCAGAAAUGUGCCUCCAUACGACAGUCCAUUGUUCUAUGUGGACAAACUGGACUUGUCUGUACAGUGCUCCUCACCUCCACCUGAUCCAACACCUUUGGGAUCAGCUGAAACCUGGACUCUGAGCUCGGUCUUAUCCUCCAAACAUCGGAGGCUGACCUCACUAAUCCCUGCAGCUGGGCUCCAAAAUCUGGCGGACAUCCUGUAGUCAGUGGUUGUUACAGCGGCAGAUAACAAGAACUACAUGUCCAACAAUCACAUAUGAGUGUAAUGUUAGUGUGUCUACAUAUAUUUGGCAGUAUGGUGUCCACCUCUGUCACCUAGUCUAAAGUAACUGCUCUUGAGACUUUGCCAAAAGCUGCUCUGGGUUCAUUUUUAUCUACGUGUGUUUCUAAUAUUGUUUUAUUCUUCACAUACGCAAAUAAGGAGGUCAAAACAUUAGAAACACCUUUGCAUCAACACAAGAGACCACCGCAAAGCAGAGCCACAGAGCCUGCCCUGAGAACUGGGUCGGCACACACACAUCUGAAGAAACCUCAGGGACUGCAGGGAUCACAGGUGUUUCCUAUUUUUCUAUUGAUCUGCUCUUUUAUCCUCUAUGUCUGUUGUGAGAUGCGUCAUACUUCUCGAAUUAGCUCUGUGACUUUACGGCACAAAAGCCUGCGUGUCUGAGCUAAUUACCAAGCUGCAUCUAAGUCCAAACAUGUUACACACUACAAGGUGCAUUAUGAUCAUGUGCCACAGGAGGGCGCCUCGGCUGAGCUCAGAUCAGCAGCAGCAGCACACUCAGGUUGUGUGUGAUGAUCUCGAGCUUAACAAUGAAGGAUGAGGUUGUUCCUCCAUAGAGAGGAGUCACUUCAUCAUGAAAGAAAAGGCUUCAUUUUUACAGAGGUUCAGUGUGUCACUUUAUCAUAAUAAGACCGUACAACAAAAAGAUAUAUAAGUGGAUGAUCAAAUAAUUACAAAAAUUAUAAAAGGUGGGGUGCAGAGGAUGAAAAUGAAAGAAGCUGCUCUGGAGUCUGUUGGUGCAGCAGUGGUGACUCCUGUACCGCUUGUCAAGUGCAGCCCAGUCACCAGCAACCACAGUUCAGUUUCUACAUUUAUAAGUGUGUGACACCUCUGGAUUUUUUUUUUCUCAAGACAAUUUCCAGCCCGGGUUUGUGGUGACACAAACGUACAUUAUUGGCAAGAAGUUGCAACGUCUCCAUCUGUGAUGGCGACGACCAAAACAGGUGUGUUAAGCCAGAACAUGAUCGUUUCUGAACGCGAACCUAGUGUUUUUUUUAAUUCCCGAACCUAAUCAGUUUAUUAGCACAGUGGUGUCACAACAUAAAAUACAGAACUGAACCUAAAGAAAGUUACAACAUAUUGAUGUAUUUUAGUGACACAUCUCGUGCCGAUUUUGUUUCCAGUCAAGAUGCUUUCUAUCGGUGUACAGCGUUUUCCAGUAAAGACUUUUGUUUGUUUGUGAUGAUUAAAUAAUGUUCUACUGUUUUUCAC
Molecule: long non-coding RNA, 1750 nt
Organism: Acanthopagrus latus (yellowfin seabream)
Lineage: Eukaryota; Metazoa; Chordata; Actinopteri; Spariformes; Sparidae
Exons: 2
Source: RefSeq, a predicted model, not a curated record